ACCGACGAGGGCGACUACCAGGUGAAACUACGUAACCUGAUCCGUUUCCUCGAAGGUGGCGAUAAGGGCAAGGUGACCUUGCGGUUUCGUGGCCGUGAGAUGGCACACCAGGAUAUCGGCCGCAAGCUGAUGGAACGGAUUGCCGAUGAUCUCGAUGAACUGGCAACAGUCGAGUCCUUCCCCAAGAUGGAAGGCCGUCAGAUGAUCAUGAUCCUUGCCCCCAAGAAGAAGUGAUCCAAUGGCAGGUUAACGGGCAUCCAUCUUGUGUGGAAAGGUGGGUGUCGGCCUUGGGUUUUCUGAAAAACGUCCGAGUGGAGUUGUCCCUCAUGCCGA
This 333-nucleotide unclassified non-coding RNA is filed under the name Aidingimonas halophila. RNAcentral describes it as "Long range pseudoknot". Lineage: Bacteria; Pseudomonadati; Pseudomonadota; Gammaproteobacteria; Oceanospirillales; Halomonadaceae. The record is from RNAcentral.